Long non-coding RNA from Homo sapiens (human), 1569 nucleotides. NCBI's taxonomy places the organism in Eukaryota, Metazoa, Chordata, Mammalia, Primates, Hominidae. The record is from Ensembl.
GAGGGUAUAGCGUUUUCGCCUUAGACUUUCUUGGGUGCAGGCCCACACCACCUCAGCAGCCUGCCCGGCAGUCCUCUUUUCCCAGGUUUUGGCGUUUAGACAACCCACCUGAGUCCUCAGCCUUGUCCCACACAGCAAGGUACAAGGGACCGGACGUCUGCCUCCUCAGCAGCGCAGCGCACAAGCUUCCUGUCAUCCCGGCGCCCACGAUCAGCACCUGCGCCAUGGCGAGAGGGAGCAGCGAUCCGCGCUGAGUCUCUGCGGCGGGGCCGUUCGGCCCGGGCUUUCUGGAAAGGCGGCCGAACCGGCGCUAGCGCUCUUUGGUUCCGUGCUCCCUGGGCCGACCUGGGCCCUGAGCUUUCCUCCGGCCGGCCUGCAGGGGGCGGAAAGGAGGCGGCCGGAGCUGAGAGGCCCCUCCGUCCUUGAGGAGCAAACCUGGGGCUGCGGAGAACCGGGGCUGUCUGUCUUCUCGCUUUGGGGGCCGGGCGCCCUGCCCCUCGCCCAGAAAAGCCUGGAAAUGGUGUGGGCUAUUGUUGGGAGAACCCGCCUCGCAACAGAGCUGACGUUGACCACAGCAGAGAAGCAGCUUAACCUAUCUACUGCGAUAACUCUCAUGCCUGUUGGGAUUUUUGCUGUUUUACUAUUCUAGAUUUGAAAGUGGGAAGAAGAAUUUACCAGCGAUACCACGGGCAACCUUUCCUCUAAUGCUUGAACGGCCACUAUUAGCAUAAUAGAAACAUCUUUUGGAAUCUGGGAGACAUUUUUCUUAGACCUGGGACUUUGUGUAACCUUCCUGAACCUCAAUUUCUCCAUCUGGGAAAUGGAAACAAUAACGUAUACCUUUCAAACUUGUAAAGAUUAAAGACAGUUGAUUCAUCAGAAAAUUCCAAAUUACUCUUCAAUAAGUUCUAUGUCAGAACGCAUUCCGUAUGUUCUAAGGAAUAUAAAGAUGAACAACAAGAGAAGGAUUGGUGCCAUUGCCGUUGUUUUUUUCCCCCUCCUGACAUUGUACUGGAAGUUCUCAAUGAAACAACAAAGGCAAUGGUAAUACUGAACUAUUAAAAAACAAAUAAUUAAGUUACGCUGACUUGCAGAUAAAUUAUUACCUGGAAAACUAAGAAACCGAAUAAGUAUCAGAACCAAUAAGAAAAUUGACAAUGGUAGCCAAUUAUAAUGGAAACAUUUAAAAAUCAGAAUAUUUACUUCAUGUCCACAUCAUGAAAAAAAUUACCAUGUAUCAAAUGGGUGACGAAUUAAUACUAGAUAUAUCUAAUAAAAGAACUAGAAGAAAAUGUAGACGGGCAUAUAUGACUAAGAAGACAUUUUUAAGCAUAAAAAUGAAAGAUGGAAUUGAACAGAAAAUACAUAAUCAUUUACAACUUGUGUGUUACAAAAUACACAAAACAAAAUACAAAUAGUAAAUUUCUGAAAGGUGUAUGAAAGAUUAAAGUUAAUAUUAUUUAAAAACAUUAUUCAAAGUCUUAAAGACACAAAUGACAAAAGCCAAAAGGAAAAUGUGUAUAUAUUGGAUAGAGUUCUUGAAUAAAAAGAAAUACGUAAGUCCAAUAA